AAAGGAAUAAAUUAGACGAAUCACCUGGAAAGUUGAACCAGAGAAGGUAAAAGUCCUGUAGUCGAAAGUUUAUUCUCUCUUGAGUGGAGCCUGAGUACGACGGAGCACGUGGAAUUCCGUCGGAAUCCGGGAGGACCAUCUCCCAAGGCUAAAUACUCUCUAGUGACCGAUAGUGAACCAGUACCGUGAGGGAAAGGUGAAAAGUACCCCGGAAGG
This 216-nucleotide ribosomal RNA is filed under the name Staphylococcus simulans. RNAcentral's name for it is "partial 23S ribosomal RNA". It matches the Rfam family "Bacterial large subunit ribosomal RNA", at positions 318 to 534 of the family's 2925-position model. Lineage: Bacteria; Bacillati; Bacillota; Bacilli; Caryophanales; Staphylococcaceae. The record is from RNAcentral.